AGCAGAGUGGCUCAGUGGAAAGAGCACGGACUUAGGACUCAGAGGUCAUGGGUUCUAAUCCCUGCUCCGCCA
This is a non-coding RNA of Ornithorhynchus anatinus (platypus), 72 nucleotides long. The record is from Rfam. NCBI's taxonomy places the organism in Eukaryota, Metazoa, Chordata, Mammalia, Monotremata, Ornithorhynchidae.